RNAcentral lists this ribosomal RNA (442 nucleotides) under uncultured bacterium. RNAcentral's name for it is "bacterial SSU rRNA". It matches the Rfam family "Bacterial small subunit ribosomal RNA", at positions 29 to 506 of the family's 1533-position model. The record is from RNAcentral.
ACUAACGCUGACGGUAUGCCUUAUACAUGCAAGUCGAACGGAAAGGCUCUUCGGAGUACUCGAGUGGCGGACGGGUGAGUAACGCGUAGGAAUAUGCCCCAAGAUGGGGGAUAACUAGGAGAAAUCUUAGCUAAUACCCCAUAUGUCGAAAGAUCAAAGCAGUAAUGCGUCUUGGGAGUAGCCUGCGUCUGAUUAGCUAGUUGGUAGGGUAAAAGCCUACCAAGGCGACGAUCAGUAGCUGGUCUGAGAGGAUGAUCAGCCACAAUGGGACUGAGAUACGGCCCAUACUCUUACGGGAGGCAGCAGUAGGGAAUUUUGCGCAAUGGACGAAAGUCUGACGCAGCGAUACCGUGUGUAGGAAGACGCUCUGUGGAGUGUAAACUACUGUCGGAUGGAACGAAUAAAUGACUGUACCAUCAAAGGAAGCACCGGCUAACUCUGU